Molecule: long non-coding RNA, 1755 nt
Filed under: Fragaria vesca (wild strawberry)
Lineage: Eukaryota; Viridiplantae; Streptophyta; Magnoliopsida; Rosales; Rosaceae
Description: long non-coding RNA (FVES_LNC001215)
Source: RNAcentral
CAAAAAACAAAAGUUACAUGAUGUAGAACCCAAUACAAAACAAACAUCCCAAAAAACAAGAACCCAGCAACUUGAUAUCAGAAGGGCAACUUUCAUCUUGACCUUGCAGCAGAAGUGAUAAAGCAGGAGGAAGCUUGCAUGAAAAUCUGGCAGUCCACAAUAGAUGGCAGUAGUGCAGUGAUAUGCAAAACAUCCCUGACAACACAUAGCAGCAAAAUAUAACUAGAAAACCGAAAUUUGAAAACUGCAUAUUUUUCUUCAAUUGUAAACUGACAAACAUAUUUAUCUUUAAUUGAAAACUGACAAACUGAAAAGCUGCAUAUGCUGUCAAAGGAUGAGAAGAGUCACUUGAAGCUUUAACUUUUAUAUUCACUGAACACUUGCACAAACCAAUUGAUGCAAUUGAUGAACUGCCUCAAUAUAUUUUGUAUUUCCACUUGAAGAGAUAACCAGCAGCCCAUUAUAUAUAUGUCAGCAGCAACACAAAUAGCAACUUAACCUCUCACAACUUCGCAAUAGAAACAGAAUGCAGAGCUAACAGUCUACUGAAAGAUCCUGCCCUCAUAAGAAUAUGACGUCCCACAGCUGAACACGUGUAUACCAGUAGCACAACAACAAUGUAACUCCAAUUUCUUCAAUAACACGAAAACAGCUGAAAAUUUGACACCAUCUCACAAAUAAGCAGAUCAAGCACACAGACCCAUACACUCAAACCAUGAUCCAAACCACUAGGCCAAUUCACCAGUCCGAAAACAAGAUAUAAAACUGCUUCGUCACCUUUUUCUUUGGUUGACGGCAGACACAACUUCAAUAAAAGAAAAAUGGAAAACUGACGAUAUCAAGCAUAACAGCUCAGACCAGAGCAAGAGUCCAUGAAGCAAGCGACUGAGCUACCCAUUCAACAAGAUUAUACCAAAUUGUGCUGGAUGCUCUACAAUAUGAAGAGAGUCACAAUAGGCAGAGAUGCACAUCUAACCAGAAUGGACUACUGCAGAAUUGAAUGAGGCAAAUCAUAAUUGAAUGCAACAACUUCCAAAUAACAGAGGGGCCAGAAACUACUUCACCAAAUUCAGACAUGUACUGCACACUAGAGCCAUAGAUCCAAUCCAUAAUCCAAAAUUAUCAUGCGACAUCACCAGUCCAAAAACAAAGGAAAAUUCUUCAAUCUUAAACUUCAACUUCAACUUUGAUAAAAAUAAUAAACUGGAAAACUGAUAAUCGGAGCACAACAUCUAAGACCAUAAAGAGAUUCCAAAAAUUCAAGUGAGAGAGGAGACUGAAUCGGAAAAGAAUUACCAACCCCUACUUCUGCAUCUGAAAGAUAGCCACAUCUCACCAUCAAAUCAAAAGCCCACGAUAUUCACCCUCAAAAUACUCAUAUCACCCAUCCAGAUUCAUAUCCCUAAAGCUCUCUGAACAGUUCAAACAGCGAGAAAAAAGAGAAGCUAGAGAUGAUGAUACCAGAGAUGCCGGAGAAAGAGAUUCCAUAUUCGGAAAUUGAAGUCGGCGCGAACGGCGAAGUAAGACCGGGCAGCGAUGACGAUGACCAAGAAGAGGACUGCUCGGCUUCGAUUCGAGAAGGAUAAGAAGCAGGCGCACCAGGAGACUCCGAUUCGAGGCUAGGGUUUGUGAAAUUGGGGGAAACUGAAAUUGAAAUCUACUGAAUUGAAAAACGCGGAAGCAAGACUAGAUGAACAGAAGCCACAAGGUUCCGGAUCAGAAACCAUGGGCUCUGAUACCAUGAUAGGAUUCAUG